AUGUCCUUUGUUGUAUGCCUUACAGGCUUCGUAACCUCUAUUAGAUCAAAUUACACGUGGUAUGGAAGAGGAGAAAGAGUGUGGAAUGCUGCCGUAAUUAGCCUUGGGUAACCAGAGAGGAAGGAACAGAAAAAAAAAUCAACAAAAAUAAAUAGGGAGCUCUUACUCCAUGUGAGACACUGCGUUAGACAUGGUGGGCCAUAGAAACAAGUUUAGGAUCGAGUUCCUGUCGUUAGGAAUCUCUCAGUCUAUGUGGAGCUGAUGGAAAUACAGCAUCAUCACUUGAAGCCUGAAUUUUGAACAAGUACAUUAACAAAAGGCCAAAGACUUAUCACUAAGAACCCUGAAUUAAGAAUGGCAUCCUUCCACUACUCUCAGCUGGAAAGAAACAAAAUUUAUGAGGGACACAUGAGAAUGUACCCAGAUCUGGAA
Cebus imitator (Panamanian white-faced capuchin) is the source of this 432-nucleotide long non-coding RNA. RefSeq lists it as uncharacterized. NCBI's taxonomy places the organism in Eukaryota, Metazoa, Chordata, Mammalia, Primates, Cebidae. The record is from RefSeq and is a predicted model, not a curated record. The transcript has 2 exons.